GCUUCCUUUGAGGGUACCGUCAGCACUCUUGCGAGUAUUUCUUCCCCUCCGACAGAAGUUUACGACCCAAAGGCCUUCAUCCUUCACGCGGCGUUGCUGCGUCAGGGUUUCCCCCAUUGCGCAAAAUUCCCCA
RNAcentral lists this ribosomal RNA (133 nucleotides) under uncultured bacterium. Its description in RNAcentral is "partial 16S ribosomal RNA". The record is from RNAcentral.